UACGUAGGGUGCAAGCGUUGCUCGGAAUCACUGGGCGUAAAGAGCGUGUAGGCGGCUUGGCAAGCGGGAUGUGAAAGCCCCCGGCUUAACCGGGGAGGCGCAUUCCGAACUGCUUGGCUUGAGUCCGGGAGAGGGUGGUAGAAUUCCCGGUGGAACGGUGAAAUGUGUAGAUAUCGGGAGGAAUACCUGUGGCGAAGGCGGCCACCUGGACCGGAACUGACGCUGAAACGCGAAAGCGUGGGGAGCAAACAGGAUUAGAUACCCUCGUA
This 269-nucleotide ribosomal RNA is filed under the name uncultured prokaryote. RNAcentral describes it as "partial 16S ribosomal RNA". It matches the Rfam family "Bacterial small subunit ribosomal RNA", at positions 524 to 792 of the family's 1533-position model. The record is from RNAcentral.